Molecule: ribosomal RNA, 334 nt
Filed under: uncultured eukaryote
Lineage: Eukaryota
Description: partial 18S ribosomal RNA
Rfam family: Eukaryotic small subunit ribosomal RNA
Source: RNAcentral
UCCUUAGAUGUCCGGGGCCGCACGCGCGCUACACUGAAGGAAUCAGCGUGGCUUUCUCCCUGACCCGAAAGGGUUGGGAAACCCGUUGAAUCUCCUUCGUGAUAGGGAUUGGGGCUUGAAAUUGUUCCCCAUGAACGAGGAAUUCCCAGUAAGCGCGAGUCAUAAGCUCGCGUUGAUUACGUCCCUGCCCUUUGUACACACCGCCCGUCGCUACUACCGAUUGAACGGUUUAGUGAGGGCCUCGGAUUGGUCUCGGCCCGCUCUUCACCGGGCGGCGCCGUUGGUCGAGAAGACGCUCGAACUUGAUCGUUUAGAGGAAGUAAAAGUCGUAACA